GAGUCCGUCGGGCCUAAUCCACGCAGCCGCUGCGUGGAGCCGGGGACCCACUUUCCCCCCAGGGGCGAAUCGGCGCGCCGCGCCGUAGGGCUGUCUUCCAGGCCCGAGCCCGUCAGCUAACCCGGUCGGCCGCAUGGAAGGACAGU
Molecule: small RNA, 146 nt
Filed under: Nonomuraea sp.
Lineage: Bacteria; Bacillati; Actinomycetota; Actinomycetes; Streptosporangiales; Streptosporangiaceae
Also listed under: 1 other name
Description: c-di-AMP sequence
Rfam family: c-di-AMP riboswitch aptamer (ydaO/yuaA leader)
About the family: This family represents a conserved RNA structure found upstream of the ydaO and yuaA genes in Bacillus subtilis and related genes in other bacteria. The ydaO/yuaA element is thought to act as a genetic "off" switch for the ydaO and yuaA genes in its native state.
Source: RNAcentral